RNAcentral lists this transfer RNA (91 nucleotides) under Muribaculaceae bacterium. RNAcentral's name for it is "tRNA-Ser". It matches the Rfam family "tRNA". Rfam says of the family: Transfer RNA (tRNA) molecules are approximately 80 nucleotides in length. Their secondary structure includes four short double-helical elements and three loops (D, anti-codon, and T loops). Further hydrogen bonds mediate the characteristic L-shaped molecular structure. tRNAs have two regions of fundamental functional importance: the anti-codon, which is responsible for specific mRNA codon recognition, and the 3' end, to which the tRNAs corresponding amino acid is attached (by aminoacyl-tRNA synthetases). tRNAs cope with the degeneracy of the genetic code in two manners: having more than one tRNA (with a specific anti-codon) for a particular amino acid; and 'wobble' base-pairing, i.e. permitting non-standard base-pairing at the 3rd anti-codon position. Lineage: Bacteria; Pseudomonadati; Bacteroidota; Bacteroidia; Bacteroidales; Muribaculaceae. The record is from RNAcentral.
GGAGUGAUGCUCGAGUGGUUGAAGAGGCACGCCUGGAAAGCGUGUAUACGCCAAAAGCGUAUCGGGGGUUCGAAUCCCCCUCACUCCGCCG